This is a long non-coding RNA of Corvus hawaiiensis (hawaiian crow), 311 nucleotides long. RefSeq lists it as uncharacterized. Lineage: Eukaryota; Metazoa; Chordata; Aves; Passeriformes; Corvidae. The record is from RefSeq and is a predicted model, not a curated record. The transcript has 3 exons.
GGAAGGUGGUGCAGUAAGGACCAUUAAUUUUUUCCAGGAGUACGGACAGGAGUUUCAUCUGUGGAAAAUCCUCUUGCAGAGCUUCCACACGGGCAGAGGCAAAACACUCAUUUACCAAGUCUGAGGAAUGAGGUCUCUCUGGAGCUUUUUCCCGGUGUUUUAAAGCAUUACAGAAGCUCGUCCUGAGCCAAGAACGCAGUAACAUCAUAUUGGAAAUAAUGGGAAGAGGCUGGUUCCUAUCCAAGCAUAGAAGGAAAAAUACUAUGAAAAAAGUAAGAAAUAUUUUCUCCUGUUGGCGACUCAGUGCCUAC